GAUGAACGCUAGCGGCAGGCUUAAUACAUGCAAGUCGAGGGGCAUCAAGGUACACGAAAGUGUAUUGUUGGCGACCGGCGGACGGGUGAGUAAUAGGUAGGUAACCUACCUCAUACUGAGGCAUAGCUGGGAGAAAUUCCAGGUAAUUCCUCAUGAGGUUAUAUGACACAUGUGAUAUAAUCAAAGGUAUCGCAAGGUACUGGUAUGAGAUGGGCUUACUGACCAUUAGCUAGUUGGUGAGAUAAGAGCUCACCAAGGCGAAGAUGGUUAGGGGUUUUGAGAGAGAGAUCCCCACAUUGGAACUGAGAUACGGUCCAGACUCCUACGGGAGGCAGCAGUAGGGAAUAUUGGGCAAUGGGCGGAAGCCUGACCCAGCCAUGCCGCGUGAAGGAAGACGGCCUUAUGGGUUGUAAACUUCUUUAACUAUGCGACUAACUAGAUUUACGAGAUAAUUCUAUAGAAUGUAGCAUAGCAAAAAGCACCGGA
This 486-nucleotide ribosomal RNA is filed under the name uncultured bacterium. RNAcentral describes it as "bacterial SSU rRNA". It matches the Rfam family "Bacterial small subunit ribosomal RNA", at positions 28 to 497 of the family's 1533-position model. The record is from RNAcentral.